This 887-nucleotide long non-coding RNA is filed under the name Marmota monax (woodchuck). The record is from RNAcentral. Lineage: Eukaryota; Metazoa; Chordata; Mammalia; Rodentia; Sciuridae.
CAGCAACUAGGCCAACAGUCUUCAUGGAGAAUGUUCAGUCAAGUGUGGCCUUGGCUGAAGGUCCUCCCCCUUGCAGGACCCCUAUUAGUCCUCUUUAUGUUUCUCCUAAUAGGACCAUGUCUGUUAAAUUGCCUAGAGAAGUUCCUGCAAGAUCAGAUACACAAAUUCACCAACCAGCCAGUCAAUCAACUACUUCUUCAAGACUACCAGACCCCUUAUGCUCAAGACGGAGACCUACGACUCAUAACCAACUGUUCUGGCUCCAGAGACUCUGCCCCCACCUAAAACCCUCCCUGAUCCUUUACAGGAAUGAGAUACUUCACCCCUAACCAGCAGAAAGUAGCCAGAUGUAAUUCAGAUCCCUAUAUCAUCAAAAAAAAAAAAAAAAAAGCCAGGAUAUUAGGUCAGUUUGAGGUAGCUAAGGGAACAAAGCACCAGGCAACCCACACGUGCAAAAGAACAACCAAUCAGGUGCUGACAGACAAGUAGUGAACUACCUGUCAAUCAGUGGGGUCUCCUGACCAAUCCUAGAAUGACACGGAUCUCAUCAAGAUCCCCUGACCAACCCCAGAAGGACAAGGGACUCUAAAAACCUCCCUUUCCUGUCCUAAACCCAAUAAAAUUCCAAUCCAUCUGAGCCUGUGCUUGACUCCCCUGAACCGGCUCUGUUGAACUGGAGGGUCUCGUCCAGGAGUGAGUCUCAAUAAAGCCUUGUUCAGCAGCCUUUUAAUCUGCCUCCUUUUGGUCAUCGGUGCCUGACCUUACCCAGAUGGUACAUCUAUAUCAGUAUUUAGCUAUUUACACUGGUCUCAACUCAUGAACUCAACUGAUCCUUCCCCCUCAGCCUCCUGAGUAGUAGAGAAUAUAGGUGUUCGCCUCCAUACCUU